Long non-coding RNA from Pleuronectes platessa (European plaice), 519 nucleotides. RefSeq lists it as uncharacterized. The transcript has 3 exons. Lineage: Eukaryota; Metazoa; Chordata; Actinopteri; Pleuronectiformes; Pleuronectidae. The record is from RefSeq and is a predicted model, not a curated record.
UAUGCUGAUAACAGUAAGCUAGCAGCUCCUAGCUAGCGUCGCCUGGCUAUUUGUGGCUAGCUGAAGCAGAAGCAGUCGGUUGUUUUCGCCUCGGGACUCGCACUAACCGUGAUAGACGCUGUCCUCAGUAAAGUGCCGGUUGACCACGCGGGGUUGUCAUUGAUUGUCGACAAGAGGAGACAUGUUUCCCGUAAAUAAACAAAUAGACGAGGCUGGACACUGUCAGAACUGACAGGUGAGGAAACAAAAACUUCCGGGAGUCACUCGGCUGCUGGAGCCCCUUUCAAAAUAAAGUGCGAGGACGCGAAGGAAGCUUGGUGGUGAACUGGACUGUGGAAGCAAGAGACCAACAAGUGGUAUUAAAAGAGGACACCUGAGUAAAACAUGUGAAAUACAAUAACUGGUCCAUGGCUGCAGAGGGCGCUGCAAAGAACAAUGACAUGUGAAGAGAACCCAGAGAUCUCCAUCUUGAAGACUGAAGAAAGUAAGCUCAACACUUGCACAUGACAGCACAAUGUG